RNAcentral lists this long non-coding RNA (996 nucleotides) under Parus major (Great Tit). RNAcentral's name for it is "lncRNA (ENSPMJG00000002769.1)". Lineage: Eukaryota; Metazoa; Chordata; Aves; Passeriformes; Paridae. The record is from RNAcentral.
UUCAAAAUCUGGCCUCCAAGCAAUGUGCCCAAGGAUGCACGAAAUCAGGGGCUGAAUCUUUAUCUCCUGCACUUGAUCGUGUCUGCACUGCCAUUCACAACACAGAUACAUUGCUCCUCAGCACUAGCCCUGGCUGAGGCAGUCAGCAAGACUAAUCCCAGAAAUACAGCUCCUGGAUGGGAAUUCAGAAAUGCCCUGCACAACCUGUUUCCUCCCAUGCAGGUUGCAGCUGCAUUUGGCCCGUGAUUCUCCCCAGAUGUGUGGUGAAUUUAAAGAUCUAUCCCAGUCCUUGACCUACAUGGAGGAGCACAGAGCCAGUCAUUUCUGAACCAACAGCCAUAGAAAAUCUGAGGUCUUUUCAUGCUGGAAAUUCCACGGGGAGGAAGGAGAGUGCCUGCAGACAGCAACUGCCUCUGUAGUGAAGGGAAGUCUGAAGUUUCCCCUCUGCUUUUUCGUGCAUAACAGCAUCUGUACGCCUCAUUUCCAUCUUCACAGCUCCUGUAAUUUACAUAAUGAACAUUUGCAAAGCCUGAGAUCUGGGUUCACUUUGUACCACAUUUACUGUAGAUGACCUUCAGCGUAUCAUCAGAAAAGUUUCCCAGGCAAUUUUCCCAAAGGGUGUGAAUGUGAAACCUACGAUCUCUGGGAAGGAGGAAAGGGGAAUGAAAGCAGAUUUCUGAGAUAUCUGUCAUUCAAAGGCACUCUUGAAAGACAUCCAUUGGAUUUGCAGCAUGGCAGAGGGAGCCCUGUCUACACAGUGGCCUUUGAGGAACAGGUCUGUGGGCUCCAUGCCACCAGCACCACAGGGGAGCUUGUAAUAACCACACCAGCACAGUCCAGAUGUCUUGGAGAGGAUUUGGUUUCAAGACACAUGGCUGCAAGUUCAGAACUUGGAGGGGGGAAGGGGUUCUGCUCUAAUAUACAUAAUUUGUUUAAAAAGUUUGCAGGUGUUAGAAUUUUUAUUGAAGGCAGGGAGCUGAGAAAUCGUAUCCAGUC